This 402-nucleotide ribosomal RNA is filed under the name bacterium. Its description in RNAcentral is "partial 16S ribosomal RNA". It matches the Rfam family "Bacterial small subunit ribosomal RNA", at positions 355 to 776 of the family's 1533-position model. The record is from RNAcentral.
UGGGAAAUUUUGCACAAUGGGGGAAACCCUGAUGCAGCGACGCCGCGUGAUUUAGAAGGCCUUCGGGUUGUAAAAAUCUUUUCUAUGGGAAGAAAAUGACAGUACCAUAGGAAUAAGGACCGGCUAAUUACGUGCCAGCAGCCGCGGUAAUACGUAAGGUCCGAGCGUUUUCCGGAAUCAUUGGGCGUAAAGGGUACGUAGGCGGGUAAGCAAGUUAGAAGUGAAAUCCUAUAGCUCAACUAUAGUAUGCUUUUAAAACUGCUCAUCUUGAGGUAUGGAAGGGAAAGUGGAAGUCCUAGUGUAGCGGUGAAAUGCGCAGAUAUUAGGAGGAAUACCGGUGGCGAAGGCGACUUUCUGGCCAUAACCUGACGCUGAGGUACGAAAGCGUGGGUAGCAAACAGG